This 1873-nucleotide ribosomal RNA is filed under the name Acinetobacter baumannii. RNAcentral describes it as "partial 23S ribosomal RNA". It matches the Rfam family "Bacterial large subunit ribosomal RNA", at positions 1109 to 2925 of the family's 2925-position model. Lineage: Bacteria; Pseudomonadati; Pseudomonadota; Gammaproteobacteria; Moraxellales; Moraxellaceae. The record is from RNAcentral.
GAAGCAGCCACCCUUUAAAGAAAGCGUAAUAGCUCACUAGUCGAGUCGGCCUGCGCGGAAGAUGUAACGGGGCUAAAACUAUGUGCCGAAGCUGCGGAUGUAUACUUUGUAUACGUGGUAGGGGAGCGUUCUGUAAGCCGAUGAAGGUGUGUUGAGAAGCAUGCUGGAGGUAUCAGAAGUGCGAAUGCUGACGUGAGUAACGACAAAACGGGUGAAAAACCCGUUCGCCGAAAGACCAAGGGUUCCAGUCCAACGUUAANNNNNNNNNNNNNNNNNNNUCGGGGCUGGGUGAGUCGACCCCUAAGGCGAGGCCGAAAGGCGUAGUCGAUGGGAAAAUGGUUAAUAUUCCAUUACUUCUGUGUAAUGCGAUGAGAGGACGGAGAAGGCUAAAUCAGCCUGGCGUUGGUUGUCCAGGUGAAAGGAUGUAGGCAUGUAUCUUAGGCAAAUCCGGGGUACUCUAUGCUGAGAUCUGAUAGCAAGCUGUACUUGUACAGCGAAGUGGUUGAUGCCAUGCUUCCAGGAAAAGUCUCUAAGCUUCAGUUACACAGGAAUCGUACCCGAAACCGACACAGGUGGUCAGGUCGAGUAGACCAAGGCGCUUGAGAGAACUCUGCUGAAGGAACUAGGCAAAAUGGUACCGUAACUUCGGGAGAAGGUACGCUGUUGUUGGUGAUGGAACUCGCUUCCUGAGCUGACGACAGCCGCAGAAACCAGGCCGCUGCAACUGUUUAUUAAAAACAUAGCACUCUGCAAACACGAAAGUGGACGUAUAGGGUGUGAUGCCUGCCCGGUGCUGGAAGGUUAAUUGAUGGGGUUAGCGUAAGCGAAGCUCUUGAUCGAAGCCCCAGUAAACGGCGGCCGUAACUAUAACGGUCCUAAGGUAGCGAAAUUCCUUGUCGGGUAAGUUCCGACCUGCACGAAUGGCAUAAUGAUGGCGGCGCUGUCUCCAGCAGAGGCUCAGUGAAAUCGAAAUCGCUGUGAAGAUGCAGUGUACCCGCGGCUAGACGGAAAGACCCCGUGAACCUUUACUGCAGCUUGACACUGAACUUUGACCUUACUUGUGUAGGAUAGGUGGGAGGCUUUGAAGCUGGAACGCUAGUUCCAGUGGAGCCGUCCUUGAAAUACCACCCUGGUAAUGUUGAGGUUCUAACUCUGUCCCGUGAUCCGGGACGAGGACCGUGUCUGGUGGGUAGUUUGACUGGGGCGGUCUCCUCCUAAAGAGUAACGGAGGAGUACGAAGGUGCGCUCAGCGUGGUCGGAAAUCACGCGUAGAGUAUAAAGGCAAAAGCGCGCUUAACUGCGAGACCCACAAGUCGAGCAGGUACGAAAGUAGGUCUUAGUGAUCCGGUGGUUCUGUAUGGAAGGGCCAUCGCUCAACGGAUAAAAGGUACUCUGGGGAUAACAGGCUGAUACCGCCCAAGAGUUCAUAUCGACGGCGGUGUUUGGCACCUCGAUGUCGGCUCAUCUCAUCCUGGGGCUGAAGCAGGUCCCAAGGGUAUGGCUGUUCGCCAUUUAAAGAGGUACGCGAGCUGGGUUUAGAACGUCGUGAGACAGUUCGGUCCCUAUCUACCGUGGGCGCUGGAAAUUUGAGAGGAUCUGCUCCUAGUACGAGAGGACCAGAGUGGACGAACCUCUGGUGUACCGGUUGUGACGCCAGUCGCAUCGCCGGGUAGCUAUGUUCGGAAGGGAUAACCGCUGAAAGCAUCUAAGCGGGAAGCCUACCUCAAGAUAAGAUUUCCCUAGGACUUUAUGUCCUCUAAAGAGCCGUUCGAGACUAGGACGUUGAUAGGUUGGAUGUGGAAGCAUAGUGAUAUGUGAAGCUGACCAAUACUAAUUGCUCGUGAGGCUUGACUAUACAACACCCAAGCAGUUG